This 476-nucleotide ribosomal RNA is filed under the name uncultured organism. Its description in RNAcentral is "partial 16S ribosomal RNA". It matches the Rfam family "Bacterial small subunit ribosomal RNA", at positions 334 to 801 of the family's 1533-position model. The record is from RNAcentral.
CACUCCUACGGGAGGCAGCAGUGGGGAAUAUUGCACAAUGGGCGCAAGCCUGAUGCAGCCAUGCCGCGUGUAUGAAGAAGGCCUUCGGGUUGUAAAGUACUUUCAGCGGGGAGGAAGGCGAUAAGGUUAAUAACCUUGUUGAUUGACGUUACCCGCAGAAGAAGCACCGGCUAACUCCGUGCCAGCAGCCGCGGUAAUACGGAGGGUGCAAGCGUUAAUCGGAAUUACUGGGCGUAAAGCGCACGCAGGCGGUCUGUCAAGUCGGAUGUGAAAUCCCCGGGCUCAACCUGGGAACUGCAUUCGAAACUGGCAGGCUAGAGUCUUGUAGAGGGGGGUAGAAUUCCAGGUGUAGCGGUGAAAUGCGUAGAGAUCUGGAGGAAUACCGGUGGCGAAGGCGGCCCCCUGGACAAAGACUGACGCUCAGGUGCGAAAGCGUGGGGAGCAAACAGGAUUAGAUACCCCAGUAGUCCCAUGAU